Hibiscus syriacus is the source of this 373-nucleotide long non-coding RNA. RefSeq lists it as uncharacterized. The record is from RefSeq and is a predicted model, not a curated record. The transcript is spliced from 3 exons. Lineage: Eukaryota; Viridiplantae; Streptophyta; Magnoliopsida; Malvales; Malvaceae.
GUAUUCUUCUAAGGAAGUUAUUAAUACGUGAAUCACGAGCAUCGAAGCCAAUAUAGAUCAAUCUGCUAACUGCAAGAGCAUCAGUGAACUUGCAACAAUUGUGUUACUUAGUAGGAGAAAAGUAUUACCCAUUGUAGCAAAAUCAAUUAAACAACUAGCCCCAAAGGAAAGAUUAAAUGAUAUAUAAUUCUAAAGCCAAAUUAAGCUAAUUAGUCCCUCAGGUGCUGUGAAGACAGUUCAUUCUUUGUCUCUUAUGCAAGGCAUUAACAAUCGAAAUGUAGGUAAUGCUCAAUGAAACCCAUUAAGAAUGAAAAUGAAGCUGGGGUUGGCAUAAUUUAAAUUGUUAUCAUCUAUGUUACCUUGUACUUGGAUG